UACCAGACUCCUACGGGAGGCAGCAGUGGGGAAUAUUGCACAAUAGGGGAAACCCUGAUGCAGCGACGCCGCGUGAGUGAAGAAGUCAUUCGGUAUGUAAAGCUCUCUCAGCAGGGAAGAAAAUGACGGUACCUGACUAAGAAGCUCCGGCUAAAUACGUGCCAGCAGCCGCGGUAAUACGUAUGGAGCAAGCGUUAUCCGGAUUUACUGGGUGUAAAGGGAGCGCAGGCGGCUUUGCAAGUCUGAUGUGAAAGGCCAGGGCUCAACCCUGGGACUGCAUUGGAAACUGUAAAGCUAGAGUGCCGGAGAGGUAAGCGGAAUUCCUAGUGUAGCGGUGAAAUGCGUAGAUAUUAGGAGGAACACCAGUGGCGAAGGCGGCUUACUGGACGGCAACUGACGCUGAGGCUCGAAAGCGUGGGGAGCAAACAGGAUUAGAUACCCCCGUA
RNAcentral lists this ribosomal RNA (446 nucleotides) under uncultured bacterium. RNAcentral describes it as "bacterial SSU rRNA". It matches the Rfam family "Bacterial small subunit ribosomal RNA", at positions 329 to 792 of the family's 1533-position model. The record is from RNAcentral.